GUACCGCAACGAGCGCAACCCUCGACCUUAGUUGCCAGCAUUCAGUUGGGCACUCUAAGGUGACUGCCGGCUAAAAGUCGGAGGAAGGUGGGGAUGACGUCAAAUCAUCAUGCCCCUUAUGACCUGGGCUACACACGUGCUACAAUGGGCGGUACAAAGGGUCGCGAACCCGCGAGGGGGAGCCAAUCCCAAAAAGCCGCUCUCAGUUCGGAUUGCAGGCUGCAACUCGCCUGCAUGAAGCCGGAAUCGCUAGUAAUCGCGGAUCAGCAUGCCGCGGUGAAUACGUUCCCGGGCCUU
RNAcentral lists this ribosomal RNA (297 nucleotides) under uncultured Anoxybacillus sp. RNAcentral's name for it is "partial 16S ribosomal RNA". It matches the Rfam family "Bacterial small subunit ribosomal RNA", at positions 1084 to 1382 of the family's 1533-position model. Lineage: Bacteria; Bacillati; Bacillota; Bacilli; Caryophanales; Anoxybacillaceae. The record is from RNAcentral.